GCCACUGUACAUCAUUACAGACCUUUAAGCAAAAGAAAUCUAGUGGGAACGUGCAGGAUGGAUUCUUGAUAAAGAUGGGACCCAAGAAGAAGGGUGUAAGCAUCUCAGUGUCAUUCACUCAGCAUCUUUUUUUUUUUGCGGUACGCGGCUCUCUCACUGUUGUGGCCUCUCCCGUUGCAGAUCACAGGCUCCAGACGCGCAGGCUCAGCGGCCAUGGCUCAUGGGCCCAGCCGCUCCGCGGCAGGUGGGAUCUUCCCGGACCGGGGCACGAACCCACAUCCCCUGCAUCGGCAGGCGGACUCUCAACCACUGCACCACCAGGGAAGCCCCACUCAGCAUCUUUUUGA
Molecule: long non-coding RNA, 347 nt
Filed under: Delphinapterus leucas (beluga whale)
Lineage: Eukaryota; Metazoa; Chordata; Mammalia; Artiodactyla; Monodontidae
Description: lncRNA (ENSDLEG00000018970.1)
Source: RNAcentral